This 444-nucleotide ribosomal RNA is filed under the name uncultured bacterium. RNAcentral describes it as "partial 16S ribosomal RNA". It matches the Rfam family "Bacterial small subunit ribosomal RNA", at positions 339 to 795 of the family's 1533-position model. The record is from RNAcentral.
CUACGGGGCGCUCCAGUGGGGAAUAUUGCACAAUGGGCGAAAGCCUGAUGCAGCAACGCCGCGUGAGGGACGACGGCCUUCGGGUUGUAAACCUCUUUUAGCAGGGAAGAAGCGAAAGUGACGGUACCUGCAGAAAAAGCACCGGCUAACUACGUGCCAGCAGCCGCGGUAAUACGUAGGGUGCAAGCGUUGUCCGGAAGUAUUGGGCGUAAAGAGCUCGUAGGCGGUUUGUCGCGUCUGCUGUGAAAAUCCGAGGCUCAACCUCGGACCUGCAGUGGGUACGGGCAAACUAGAGUGCGGUAGGGGAGAUUGGAAUUCCUGGUGUAGCGGUGGAAUGCGCAGAUAUCAGGAGGAACACCAAUGGCGAAGGCAGAUCUCUGGGCCGUAACUGACGCUGAGGAGCGAAAGCGUGGGGAGCGAACAGGAUUAGAUACCCCCGUAGUC